GAUCCUGGCUCAGGAUGAACGCUGGCGGCGUGCUUAACACAUGCAAGUCGAGCGAAGCACUUUACUUGGAUUUCUUCGGAAUGACGAGUAUUGUGACUGAGCGGCGGACGGGUGAGUAACGCGUGGGUAACCUGCCUCAUACAGGGGGAUAACAGUUAGAAGUGACUGCUAAUACCGCAUAAGACCACAGCACCGCAUGGUGCGAAGGUAAACUCGGUGUAUGAGAGUCGGACCCCGG
RNAcentral lists this ribosomal RNA (238 nucleotides) under uncultured bacterium. RNAcentral describes it as "partial 16S ribosomal RNA". It matches the Rfam family "Bacterial small subunit ribosomal RNA", at positions 15 to 235 of the family's 1533-position model. The record is from RNAcentral.